GAUGAACGCUGGCGGCGUGCUUAACACAUGCAAGUCGAACGGAAAGGCUCCUGCUUGCAGGGGUACUCGAGUGGCGAACGGGUGAGUAACACGUGGGUGAUCUGCCCUGCACUUCGGGAUAAGCCUGGGAAACUGGGUCUAAUACCGGAUAGGACGAUGGUUUGGAUGCCAUUGUGGAAAGUUUUUCGGUGUGGGAUGAGCUCGCGGCCUAUCAGCUUGUUGGUGGGGUAAUGGCCUACCAAGGCGUCGACGGGUAGCCGGCCUGAGAGGGUGUACGGCCACAUUGGGACUGAGAUACGGCCCAGACUCCUACGGGAGGCAGCAGUGGGGAAUAUUGCACAAUGGGCGCCAGCCUGAUGCAGCGACGCCGCGUGGGGGAUGACGGCCUUCGGGUUGUAAACUCCUUUCGCUAGGGACGAAGCGUUUUGUGACGGUACCUGGAGAAGAAGCACCGGCUAACUACGUG
Molecule: ribosomal RNA, 466 nt
Filed under: uncultured bacterium
Lineage: Bacteria
Description: partial 16S ribosomal RNA
Rfam family: Bacterial small subunit ribosomal RNA
Source: RNAcentral